AGUCGAGCGGUAGAGAGAAGCUUGCUUCUCUUGAGAGCGGCGGACGGGUGAGUAAUGCCUAGGAAUCUGCCUGGUAGUGGGGGAUAACGUUCGGAAACGGACGCUAAUACCGCAUACGUCCUACGGGAGAAAGCAGGGGACCUUCGGGCCUUGCGCUAUCAGAUGAGCCUAGGUCGGAUUAGCUAGUUGGUGAGGUAAUGGCUCACCAAGGCGACGAUCCGUAACUGGUCUGAGAGGAUGAUCAGUCACACUGGAACUGAGACACGGUCCAGACUCCUACGGGAGGCAGCAGUGGGGAAUAUUGGACAAUGGGCGAAAGCCUGAUCCAGCCAUGCCGCGUGUGUGAAGAAGGUCUUCGGAUUGUAAAGCACUUUAAGUUGGGAGGAAGGGCAGUUACCUAAUACGUGAUUGUUUUGACGUUACCGACAGAAUAAGCACCGGCUAACUCUGUGCCAGCAGCCGCGGUAAUACAGAGGGUGCAAGCGUUAAUCGGAAUUACUGGGCGUAAAGCGCGCGUAGGUGGUUUGUUAAGUUGGAUGUGAAAUCCCCGGGCUCAACCUGGGAACUGCAUUCAAAACUGACUGACUAGAGUAUGGUAGAGGGUGGUGGAAUUUCCUGUGUAGCGGUGAAAUGCGUAGAUAUAGGAAGGAACACCGGUGGCGAAGGCGACCACCUGGACUAAUACUGACACUGAGGUGCGAAAGCGUGGGGAGCAAACAGGAUUAGAUACCCUGGUAGUCCACGCCGUAAACGAUGUCAACUAGCCGUUGGAAGCCUUGAGCUUUUAGUGGCGCAGCUAACGCAUUAAGUUGACCGCCUGGGGAGUACGGCCG
RNAcentral lists this ribosomal RNA (833 nucleotides) under uncultured bacterium. RNAcentral describes it as "bacterial SSU rRNA". It matches the Rfam family "Bacterial small subunit ribosomal RNA", at positions 60 to 888 of the family's 1533-position model. The record is from RNAcentral.